AGCCACAUAAUUUAAUGUAAAAUAUAUAAUUGCAGAUUAUAAUAUCUCAGUAGCAAACCUGAGUGUGGCUU
Molecule: transfer RNA, 71 nt
Filed under: Babesia orientalis
Lineage: Eukaryota; Apicomplexa; Aconoidasida; Piroplasmida; Babesiidae
Description: tRNA-Cys
Source: RNAcentral